RNAcentral lists this ribosomal RNA (219 nucleotides) under uncultured bacterium. RNAcentral describes it as "partial 16S ribosomal RNA". It matches the Rfam family "Bacterial small subunit ribosomal RNA", at positions 1285 to 1500 of the family's 1533-position model. The record is from RNAcentral.
GUCUCAGUUCAGAUUGCAGUCUGCAACUCGACUGCAUGAAGUCGGAAUCGCUAGUAAUCGCAGAUCAGCAAAGCUGCGGUGAAUAACGUUCCCGGGGCCUUGUGCACACCGCCCGUCACACCACGGGAGUCGGUCGCGCCUGAAGCCGGUGGCCUAUCAGUAAUGGGGGAGCCGUCUAUGGCGAGAUUGGUAACUGGGGUGAAGUCGUAACAAGGUACC